Molecule: transfer RNA, 64 nt
Filed under: Heterocephalus glaber (naked mole-rat)
Lineage: Eukaryota; Metazoa; Chordata; Mammalia; Rodentia; Bathyergidae
Rfam family: tRNA
About the family: Transfer RNA (tRNA) molecules are approximately 80 nucleotides in length. Their secondary structure includes four short double-helical elements and three loops (D, anti-codon, and T loops). Further hydrogen bonds mediate the characteristic L-shaped molecular structure. tRNAs have two regions of fundamental functional importance: the anti-codon, which is responsible for specific mRNA codon recognition, and the 3' end, to which the tRNAs corresponding amino acid is attached (by aminoacyl-tRNA synthetases). tRNAs cope with the degeneracy of the genetic code in two manners: having more than one tRNA (with a specific anti-codon) for a particular amino acid; and 'wobble' base-pairing, i.e. permitting non-standard base-pairing at the 3rd anti-codon position.
Source: Rfam by way of RNAcentral
GGGGAUUUAGCUCAGUGGUUCCAGCGCUUGCCUUGCAAGCAAAAGGUCCCAAGUUCAAUCCCCC